GGAAAGUUGCAAAGAACUUUGAAGAGAGAGUUCAAGAGAACGUGAAAUCCUAGCGGUUGAAGCGGAGAGAGUUGACGUAGCUCGGCGGCUAAGCUUACUGUUGCUUCUUCGGAGGCUUCGGUUUGUGAUGUCCGCUUAUAGCUGCGCUGGUAGCGUUGUUCGAGUUUUCUGACCUGGUUAGUGUUGCCCACUUCGGUGGUGUCUUGCUACCGGCGAGGUCUGCCGUAUUAACGUUUAACUUGCCUUACGGUGAGUACCAGUGUGAAGGUCAGCCACCUUUCCGACCCGUCUUGAAACACGGACCGAGGAGUGUAACUUGUACGCGAGUCAGAGGGUGGAAAACCCUACGGCGCAAUGAAAGUAAAGGUCGGUUAACCGGCUGACAUGGGAUCCGUUCUUACGAGCGGCGCACCAUGGCCCUGUCUUGAGAGCUUGCUCUUGGGCAGAGGUAGAGCGUACAGGUUGCGACCCGAAA
Molecule: ribosomal RNA, 475 nt
Filed under: Heterorhabditis sp. YNb59
Lineage: Eukaryota; Metazoa; Nematoda; Chromadorea; Rhabditida; Heterorhabditidae
Description: eukaryotic LSU rRNA
Rfam family: Eukaryotic large subunit ribosomal RNA
Source: RNAcentral